Non-coding RNA from Ictidomys tridecemlineatus (thirteen-lined ground squirrel), 72 nucleotides. The record is from Rfam. Lineage: Eukaryota; Metazoa; Chordata; Mammalia; Rodentia; Sciuridae.
GGGGAUAUAGCUCAGUGGUAGAAUACUUGCCUGGCAUGUAUGAGACCCUAGGUUCAAUCCCUAGUACCACCA